This 72-nucleotide transfer RNA is filed under the name Dokdonella fugitiva. It matches the Rfam family "tRNA". From Rfam's summary of the family: Transfer RNA (tRNA) molecules are approximately 80 nucleotides in length. Lineage: Bacteria; Pseudomonadati; Pseudomonadota; Gammaproteobacteria; Lysobacterales; Rhodanobacteraceae. RNAcentral also lists the same sequence under 3 other names. The record is from Rfam by way of RNAcentral.
GGGCCGUUAGCUCAGCGGUAGAGCAGCGGACUUUUAAUCCGUUGGUCGAUGGUUCGAUCCCAUCACGGCCCA